RNAcentral lists this ribosomal RNA (484 nucleotides) under uncultured bacterium. RNAcentral's name for it is "partial 16S ribosomal RNA". It matches the Rfam family "Bacterial small subunit ribosomal RNA", at positions 30 to 507 of the family's 1533-position model. The record is from RNAcentral.
AUUGAACGCUGGCGGCAGGCCUAACACAUGCAAGUCGAGCGGAUGAAGGGAGCUUGCUCCUGGAUUCAGCGGCGGACGGGUGAGGAAUGCCUAGGAAUCUGCCUGGUAGUGGGGGAUAACGUCCGGAAACGGGCGCUAAUACCGCAUACGUCCUGAGGGAGAAAGUGGGGGAUCUUCGGACCUCACGCUAUCAGAUGAGCCUAGGUCGGAUUAGCUAGUUGGUGGGGUAAAGGCCUACCAAGGCGACGAUCCGUAACUGGUCUGAGAGGAUGAUCAGUCACACUGGAACUGAGACACGGUCCAGACUCCUACGGGAGGCAGCAGUGGGGAAUAUUGGACAAAGGGCGAAAGCCUGAUCCAGCCAUGCCGCGUGUGUGAAGAAGGUCUUCGGAUUGUAAAGCACUUUAAGUUGGGAGGAAGGGCAGUAAGUUAAUACCUUGCUGUUUUGACGUUACCAACAGAAUAAGCACCGGCUAACUUCGUG